RNAcentral lists this ribosomal RNA (305 nucleotides) under uncultured bacterium. RNAcentral's name for it is "partial 16S ribosomal RNA". It matches the Rfam family "Bacterial small subunit ribosomal RNA", at positions 508 to 808 of the family's 1533-position model. The record is from RNAcentral.
ACAGCAGUCGCCGCGGUAAUACGUAGGUCCCGAGCGUUGUCCGGAUUUAUUGGGCGUAAAGGGAGCGCAGGCGGUUUAGUAAGUCUGAAGUUAAAGGCAUUGGCUCAACCAAUGUAUGCUUUGGAAACUGUUAGACUUGAGUGCAGAAGGGGAGAGUGGAAUUCCAUGUGUAGCGGUGAAAUGCGUAGAUAUAUGGAGGAACACCGGUGGCGAAAGCGGCUCUCUGGUCUGUCACUGACGCUGAGGCUCGAAAGCGUGGGUAGCGAACAGGAUUAGAUACCCCAGUAGUCCCUGUCUCUUAUACA